CCCCAGGUCAAGCGAGAUUACCCACUAAGUUUAAGCAUAUCAAUAAGCAGAGUAGAAGAAACUUACAAGGAUUCCCCUAGUAACGACGAGCAAACCGGGAUCAGCCCAGCUUGAGAAUCGUACGACUUUGUCGUCUAAAUUGUAGUCUGUAGAAGCGUCCUCAGCGACGGACCGGUCCCAAAUCCAUUUGGAGGGGGCGCCAGAGAGGGUGAAAGCCUCACCAUAUCCAGACCCCGUCGCACCAUGAGGCGUUGUCGGCGAGUCGGGUUGUUUGGGAAUGUAGCCCUAAUUGGGCAGUAAAUUUCGUCCAAUGCUAAAUAUUGGCGAGAGACCAAUAGCGAACAAAUACCGCAAGGGAAAUAUGAAAAGGACUUUGAAAGGACAGUCAAAGAGUGCUUGAAAUUGUCAGGAGGGAAGUGGAUGAGAGCUGGCGAUGUGCCUAGGUCGGAUGCGGAACGAUGUGAGCUAGUUCAUUGCUGACUUUAGAUGUGGACCGAUGCAGAUUAUGAUGGUGGCCAAAUCCCAAGUAGUUUACGUGCUUGUGGAUACAUCAUCAUCAUGAUUGUGGUGGGCAGCGUGCGCCUUCGACGUGCAUAUGGCAACUGUGCGCUACCGACAUCGGCCUGUGGGCUUUCCAUUCGGCUCGUCUUGAAACACGGACCAAGGACUCUUACAUGUGUGCGAGCCAACGAGUAAGUAAACUCUUAAGGCGCAAGGAAUCUGAUUGGUGGGAUCCCAUUGUACCACCGACCGACCUAGACCUUUUGAAAAGGGUUUGAGUGUAAGCAUACCUGUCAAGACCCGAAAGAUUGUGAACUAUGCUUGAGCGGGGCGAAGCCAUAGAAUAGGGGCAAAAGACUAAUCAAACCAUCUAGUAGUUGGUUCCCUCUGAAGUUUCCCUCCGGAUAGCUGAAGCUCGAGCGCGAGUUCUAUUGGGUAAAACCAAUGAUUAGAGACAUUGGGAGCGCAACGCCCUCUACCUAUUCUCAAACUUUAAAUAGGUAGGACGGUGCGGCAGUUUUGUUGAGUCGUACCAUGGAAUCGAGAGCUCCAAGUAGGCCAUUUUUGGUAAGCAGAACUGGUGAUGCGGGAUGAACCGAAAGCUAUGUUACGGGCCCAACUAUGCACUAACCUAGAACACACAAAGGGUGUUGGUUGAUUAAGACAACAGGACGGUGGUCAUGGAAGUCAAAAUCCUAAGGAGUGUGUAACAUCUCACCUACUGAAUCAACUAGCCUAAAAAAUUGAUGAAGACAAACGCGUGAUCCACAGUAAACCAUUGGGGCAAUUGUCGGGCCCUGAUGAGUAGGAGGGUGCAGCGGUAGCUGCAAAACCUGGGGCGUGAGCUUCCAUCGGUGCAGAUCUUGGUAGUAGUAGCAAAUAUUCAAAUGAGAACUUUGAAUACCAAAGAGGGGAAAGGUUCCAUUUGAAUGACACUUGCACAUGGGUUAGUCGAUCCUAAAAAUGGGGGUAACCCUGUCAAAGGGCGCAAACUGUACAAACUUUGUAAGGGAAUCGAGUUAAAAUUCUUGAACCGGUACGCGACGGUUGAUGGCAACGUUAGGAAGUCUAGAGACGAUGGCAGGGGCCUCGGGAAGAAUUAUCUUUUCUGUUUAACAACUUGCCCACCCUAGAAACGGCUCAACUGAAGGUAGGGUCCAGUAGCUGGAAGAGCAUAGCAUGUCGCAUGGUGUCUAGUGCGUCCUCGGUGGCCCUUGAAUAUCCAAAGGACCGAGUGCCGAUCGCGCCCUGUCAUACUCAUAAUCGCAUCAAGUCUCCAAGGUGAACAACCUCUGGUUGAUGGAACAAUGUAGGCAAGGGAAGUCAGCAAAAUGGAUCCUAACCAUGGGAAAAGGAUUGGCUCGGGGGUCUUUGUCCCAAACCCGUCGGUUAUUGGUGAACUGCUCGAGCUGCUUCCGCGGUGAGAGAGGGUCAUUGCGUGUCGACUGGGGGAUGGACUAGGAAUGGUCCCUUUGGGGGCCUUCCCCGUGUGUUGAACAAUCGACUCAGAACUUGUACGGACAACAAAAAUCAGACUGUUUAAUUAAAACAAAAGAUUGCGAUGGUCCUUACAGAUGCUAACGCAAUGUGAUUUCUACCUAGUGCUUUGAAUGUCAAAGUUAAGAAAUUCAACCAAGCGCGGGUAAAUUGCGGGAGUAACUAUGACUCGCUUAAGGUAGCCAAAUGCUUCGUCAUCUAAUUAGUGACGCGAUUGAAUGGAUUAACGAGAUUCCCACUGUCCGUGUCUACUAUCAGGUAAAACCAUAGCCAAGGGAACGAGCUUGGCAGAAUCAGAGGGGAAAAAUAACCCUGUUGAGCUUGACUCUAGUCCGACUUUGUGAAACAACUUGAGAGGUGUAGGAUAAGUGGGAGGCGCUUUCGACGAAAGUGAAAUACCACUACUUUUAACGUUAUUUUACUUAUUUCGUGAGUCGAAAGUGGGUCACUGUCCCUCUUUUUGGAUCCAAGGGUUGUCUCGGCGGCCCGAUCAUGGGGGAAGACAUUGUCAGAUGGGGAAUUUGGCUGGGGCGGCACAUCUGUUAAAAGAUAACGCAUGUGUCCCAAGAUGAGCUCAACGAGAAUACAAAUCUCGUGUGGAACAGAAGGGAAAAAGCUCGUUUGAUUCUGAUUUCUAGUACGAAUUUGAACCGUGAAAGCGUGGCCUAUCAAUCCUUUAGAACUUCGGAAUUUGAAGCUAGAGGUGUCAGGAAAGUUACCAUAGGGAUAAUUGGCUUGUGGCAGCCAACCGUUCAUAGCUAUAUUGCUUUUAGAUCCUUCCAUGUCGGCUCUUCCUAUCAUUGUGAAGCAAAAGUCACCAAGUGUUGGAUUGUUCACCCACCAAUAGGGAAUGUGAGCUGGGUUUAGACCGUCGUGAGAUAGGUUAGUUUUACCCUACUGAUGGUAGUGUCGCGAUAGUAAUUCAACUUACUAAGAAAGGAACCGUUGAUUCACACAAUCGGUCAUCGCACUUGGUUGAAAAGCUAGUGGCGCGAAGCUACCGUGUGUAGGAUUAUGAUUGAACACCUCUAAGACAGAAUCCAGGCUAGAGAAGUGGCGCAUACUCUCGUCGCUCGAUUGU
This 3079-nucleotide ribosomal RNA is filed under the name Berberis thunbergii. Its description in RNAcentral is "eukaryotic LSU rRNA". It matches the Rfam family "Eukaryotic large subunit ribosomal RNA". Lineage: Eukaryota; Viridiplantae; Streptophyta; Magnoliopsida; Ranunculales; Berberidaceae. The record is from RNAcentral.